This 403-nucleotide ribosomal RNA is filed under the name uncultured bacterium. RNAcentral describes it as "partial 16S ribosomal RNA". It matches the Rfam family "Bacterial small subunit ribosomal RNA", at positions 30 to 526 of the family's 1533-position model. The record is from RNAcentral.
AUUGAACGCUGGCGGCGGGCCUAACACAUGCAAGUCGAGCGAGCGGCGGACGGGUGAGUAAUGUAUGGGGACUGCCCGAUAGAGGGGGAUAACUACUGGAAACGGUGGCUAAUACCGCAUACUAUCGGAUAACCCAUAUGGGAUUAGCUAGUAGGUGGGGUAAAGGCUCACCUAGGCGACGAUCUCUAGCUGGUCUGCGAGGAUGAUCGACCACACUGGGACUGAGACACGGCCCAUACUCCUACGGAAGCAGCAGUGGGGAAUAUUGCACAAUGGGCGCAAGCCUGUUGAAGCCAUGCCGCGUGUAUGAAGAAGGCCUUAGGAUUGUAAAGAACUUUCGGCAGAAAGGCGUUGCCCGCUGAGGAAGCACCGGCUAACUCCGUGCCAACAGCCGCGGUAGUAC